GAUCAUGGCUCAGGAUGAACGCUGGCGGCGUGCUUAACACAUGCAAGUCGAGCGAAGCACUUUGCUUUGAUUUCUUCGGGAUGAAGAGCUUAGUGACUGGGCGGCGGACGGGUGAGUAACGCGUGGGUAACCUGCCUCAUACAGGGGGAUAACAGUUAGAAAUGACUGCUGAUACCGCAUAAGGCCACAGCACCGCAUGGUGCAGGGGUAAAAACUCCGGUGGU
Molecule: ribosomal RNA, 224 nt
Filed under: uncultured bacterium
Lineage: Bacteria
Description: partial 16S ribosomal RNA
Rfam family: Bacterial small subunit ribosomal RNA
Source: RNAcentral